GAACUGAAGUGAUGAAAAGAAAAUGUUUUGCAGAAAAAUAUAACAAUAUAAGAGUCACCAAAUUAAAGUAGUAUGACUUUGAAGGCAUAUCAAGUGCACGAAUAAAUUCACAUACAAAAAGUUUCAUGCACAUUAAGUUCUUAUCAAGAAGCAAAAAAAAAGGUUAAACAAGCAAGUAUAAAACUGUUAAUCCCAGAGGGACGAUGUUCGCAAGUGUUCCUGAUUAGGUCCAAUAAAUGUAUAAAAUCAACACUCGUAAUUGCCAUCUGUCAAUCCCUUGAACGAUUAUCUAUCGAAUGAGAUGCAAAUGUCCUCCAGGAUGAAACCAAUUCUUUAAACUGUGCACUCUUGAAUAGACUGUGGAUCAGUAGCAGCAAGUAAAGACGGUUCCCUUGGGCAGGGAAGUAUUGCAAACUUCUUUGGAAAAUAAUGCAAUUUAAAUACAUACAGAAACAACGUACUGUUCAAAGAAGAAUUGAAAUGGUGGAGGUGCAAAAAGCUAGUAUGGAAAUACAGCUUUCAACAUGCACCUUUUCAAUACAGGACGUUUACAAACAUAGAAGACCAACAUUGAUUAUGAAAUCUAUUAAUUAAAAAAAUGCAAUUUAAAUACCAACACAGAUACCGUACUGUUCAAAGAAGAAUUGAAACGGAGGAGGUGCAAAAAGCUAUUAUUUAAAUACUGCUUACAACAUGCACCUUUCCAAUACAGUACGUUUACAAACACAG
This is a non-coding RNA of Paramuricea clavata, 729 nucleotides long. The record is from the annotation of a GenBank genome assembly. NCBI's taxonomy places the organism in Eukaryota, Metazoa, Cnidaria, Anthozoa, Malacalcyonacea, Plexauridae.